Molecule: ribosomal RNA, 1535 nt
Filed under: uncultured prokaryote
Description: partial 16S ribosomal RNA
Rfam family: Bacterial small subunit ribosomal RNA
Source: RNAcentral
AGAGUUUGAUCCUGGCUCAGGAUGAACGCUAGCGGCGUGCUUAACACAUGCAAGUCGAACGAGAAAAUUCCUUUCGGGAAGUGAGUAGAGUGGCGCACGGGUGAGUAACGCGUAGGUAAUCUGCCCUUAUAUUUGGGAUAACAUUGGGAAACUGGUGCUAAUACCGAAUGGUCUUCAUUGCUUUGGGGUGAUGGAGGAAAGAUGACCUCUUCUUGAAAGUUAUCGUGCAGGGAGGAGCUUGCGUACCAUUAGCUAGUUGGUAGGGUAAUGGCCUACCAAGGCAACGAUGGUUAGCGGGUCUGAGAGGAUGAUCCGCCACACUGGAACUGGAACACGGACCAGACUCCUACGGGAGGCAGCAGUGAGGAAUAUUGCGCAAUGGGGGAAACCCUGACGCAGCGACGCCGCGUGAGUGAGGAAGGCCUUCGGGUCGUAAAGCUCUGUCAGUAGGGAAGAAAUGUUAUAUGGUUAAUACCCUUAUUAGUUUGACGGUACCAUCAAAGGAAGCCCCGGCUAAACCCCGUCCAGCAGCCGCGGUAAUACGGAGGGUGCAAGCGUUGUUCGGAAUUACUGGGCGUAAAGCGCGCGUAGGCGGUUUGUUAAGUCAGAUGUGAAAGCCCAAGGCUCAGCCUUGGACGUGCAUUUGAAACUGGCAGACUUGAGUACUGGAGGGGAUGGUGGAAUUACCGGUGUAGAGUUGAGAGUUGAAAUUCGUAGAUAUCGGGUGGAAUACCGGUGGCGAAGGCGACUUUCUGGCUGAAUACUGACGCUGAGGCGCGAAAGCGUGGGGAGCAAACAGGAUUAGAUACCCUGGUAGUCCACGCCGUAAACGAUGUCAACUAGGUGCAGGGGGUGUUGAUCCCUCCCCUCUGUGUCGCAGCUAACGCAUUAAGUUGACCGCCUGGGGAGUACGGUCGCAAGAUUAAAACUCAAAGGAAAUUGACGGGGCCCGCACAAGCGGUGGAGUAUGUGGUUUAAUUCGACGCAACGCGCAGAACCUUACCUGGUCUUGACAUCCCGAGAAUCUUUUGGAUACAAGAGAGCGCCUUUUUUGAGGAAUUCGGUGACAGGUGCUGCAUGGCUGUCGUCAGCUCGUGUCGUGAGAUGUUGGGUUAAGUCCCGCAACGAGCGCAACCCUUAUCUUUAGUUGCCAGCAUUAAGUUGGGCACUCUAGAGAGACUGCCGGUGUCAAACCGGAGGAAGGCGGGGAUGACGUCCAAGUCCUCAUUUCCUGUAUUACCAUGGCGACACAGGUACUACAAUGGCCGGUAGAACUGGCAGCCACUUCGCGAGAAGGAGCAAAUCCCUAAAAGCCGGUCUCAGUCCGGAUUGGAGUCUGCAACUCGACUCCAUGAAGUUGGAAUCGCUAGUAAUCGUAGAUCAGCAUGCUACGGUGAAUACGUUCCCGGGCCUUGUACACACCGCCCGUCACACCACGGGAGUUGGUUGUACCAGAAGUAGUUAAGCUAACCCCUUCGGGAGGCAGGCCGCCAAGGUAUGGCUGGUAACUGGGGUGAAGUCGUAACAAGGAGGCC